RNAcentral lists this long non-coding RNA (2111 nucleotides) under Homo sapiens (human). RNAcentral describes it as "non-protein coding lnc-ZRSR2-5:5". The record is from RNAcentral. Lineage: Eukaryota; Metazoa; Chordata; Mammalia; Primates; Hominidae.
GGAAGCGGCGUUUGCCGGGCCCGAGCGCCCGCGCGCCCGCGCGCUCUUGCAGGUGCCUCCGGGACGCGCGCGGGCGGCUGUCCUGCUUGUUUAAUGAUAGGAGGACGGGAUUCUGCAGCGUCCUUAGCCUAGCGGGUGGUGCGGGGCAGGGAAGUUCCGGACAGCGAAGAGCCACGUUCGAGCUCUAAUGAUUCUCUGUGUCCCCAGAGAGGAAGUGUGAAGUGUGACGGCUGACGAGGAGGGUGGGAGGAGACGAGGGAGUGCUGCAACUCUGGAAAAACAAGUCAGCUCUUCUGUGGAGCUCGUCACGCAUUCACGGGCCUUUUGCUAUCAUUCUGCCUCAAAAUUGUCCGGAAUCCGCCCUCUCCUUCCCAUUGCACUGCUCCAGCCCUAGCCCAGACACCUUCCGCCCCGAGCUUCGCGGGAGUCUGUUCCCUGGGCUCGCCUCGCCCAUCCUCGGUGCUGCGGACUGGAUGAGUUACCGUCCGUUCGGCUGAAAAGCCCGGACAGCACCUCACCUUCGAGAUCCCGCUUCCUUCACACUGGGUCGCCCCACCAGCCGCCUGGGUUCCAGUUUAGCACUGCCGACGACUUGCUGUGCCUGGCAUGUCCUUGCUCCCAAAUGUCACAUCUAUGAAGCCUCACCCUAAAACCCUGUAAGAGCGAUUCCCUCUUUCACCCACAUGCCCGUUAGCCUUUAUUUAGCACACCUUAAAUUGUAUUCAUUUUGCAUCUCAAUCUAGUUCACAGCCUGGUAUAUAACAACUAAUAAAUGUGAGUUGACUGAUAAAGACUAUAAAAUGAUAAAUUUGUUAAGAGCUGUAAUGCUGAGCGUAAUGCCUGGGCAUAAUGGAUGUUCAUAAUUUUCUGAAUGAUAGAAUGGAUGAAUCAUCUAGUCAUUUACAGAUAAGGAAAGGGGAGUCCCACGGGAUUAGGUGACCUUCCUUGAAGAGCCACGGGUUUCCCAUAUCGAAAUGCUAUUCAUUACCCGAGUCACCUAGGUUCUUACAAAGGAAGCGAGAAAAUUGCUUUUGUUGGGCCAUGCCCCUUUUGCAGAGGUUCCUAAGUAUAGUCGCCAGAAUUUUUUUAAUGGCCUAAAGUAAAAAAAGAAAUGCUAAAAUUUUCACGAAGCUAAAUGUAAUCAAUGUAAAGGAAUCCUUUAUUAGGGAUUAUAUUCUUUUUGUGUACAUUAUAGUAUCUAUGAAACUAAGACAGUAGUUUUGGGGGCUUUUAAAAAAUGCUUUUGUAUGACAAAACAAAAAGAAAUGUGUAAUACUUCCCCUUUUCAAGCACUACUGUGCUGCUUGGAAAGUUUCCUACUAACAUGUAUGAUUAAUGUAUACUGGAAUAUUAAAGAAAGGGGACGACACACGGCACAGAGCUGGCUUUCUGUAGUUCUUUAGGUCCCCCUCGCCCCCACCAGAUUUCUCCCUACCUAGUCAUGCCCCAAAGGUGCUUUCGAAUGUCCCAUUUCUCUCUUACUACAAGAAACAGAUGCCAUUAACCAGUUAAAAGAUAGCUCUAAUGCUACACAAUGAAAACUCGCCCUCUGAAUCCAAAUGCUGCUUUUCUCUUUUUCUGUACAAAACACUUAUAUCCUGAAGGUUCCUGAGAUAGCCACUUCCAAGUUUAAACUCUGAUUAUGCUCCUAAUGUUGCUCUGAAAAUGAGGACGGGAGACUUGCUGAUGACAUACUGGCAGUCUCCUUUCCUGCUCCUAGCCAAAAAAAGGUGGGGGUAGGGGUAGGGAGGGGAAGGAAUUGUGGGAAAAAUAAUUAGCAGCUGAAAGCAGCUAUUACAUAAUCUUGGCUGCUUAUUAAUUUAGCAGAAGGAAUGGCUUAUUAAAUUCUAAUAGCAACAGCACAACUGCAAACAACCUAGCAAUUAACAGUGCAGGGCCCAUUAUUUUGUUAAUAUGUUCUCUUCUUUUGGCAAGUGUAUGAGAACAAAAUUUAUAGAAGCAGAUGGUCUUUUUCAAUAGAUUAUAGAUGGUUUAUUCCCUAGUCUUAGUAUUAAGUGCUAAUUAUGCAUUCACUGUGAAAGACAAAAGAAACAUGGUUGCCAUCUUUGUUAGUAAUUAACUGCUUGACUUUGAUUCCCACAAUUUCCCAA